Papio anubis (olive baboon) is the source of this 2168-nucleotide long non-coding RNA. NCBI's taxonomy places the organism in Eukaryota, Metazoa, Chordata, Mammalia, Primates, Cercopithecidae. The record is from Ensembl.
AAUAUGUAUUUUUUUAACCAGAAAUGAUUCAGAACAUUAAGAUCUUUCCUGUGCCUUGUUUUCCAUUUUGAAUUAAAUAUAUUAUUUUUCAAAAAUGAAUCAAUACCUUCAUUAACAUUUAUAUCAACCUUUUUUUUUUUUUUUUUUUUUUUUUUUUUUUUGUGGAGGAAGGAAAAUGCUCUGAAGAUUUGGAACAGCUCAGCCUCCAAAGUGCAGGCAUGGGGUCCCACUGUGUUGCCCAGGCCGGUCUUGAACUCCUAGGCUCAAUCAAUCCUCCCAUCUCAACGUCCCCACAAGUGCUGGAAUUAUAGAUGUGAGUCACCGCGUCUGGCUGCAAACUUUUGGAUAUUUUUCUUAAAAUAAAAACUUUUCUAACAUAUACUUGUUUUGUGAUGUCAAGAUGGUCCAGGGGAUCUUAACAAAUAAUAAAGAAGUCUUUCAUGAUAUAAGGAUCAAGACUUAGGUUCUAAUAUCAGUUUUAUUGCACAAUUAUUGUGUAGUAUUGGAAAAGUCCAGUCAUCUUUCUAAUCAUUUAUUAUGGGGCUUAAGUGCAAAUAUGCUUAAAAGGUUCUUUUAAAUCAUAAAGCAUUAUGCAAUUGUGACGUAUUUUCUCCAAACAGCCACCUAAAUGAAAGUGGUGGGUUUUCAAUUAUCUGAGGCAUAAGCCAUGAAUCUAUGUACUUUGACUACACAUAAGUAAUGGAGAUUAGCCUUGUGGUUGCUUAUUAGAUUGAAAUGCUUUUGCAUACAUAUUCAUAUAGAAUACUUACAAAUCAAAACAGUCAACUUUAUUAUUUAUAUAGUGAUGACAAUGAUGAUAAUAGGUAACACUAAUUAAGCCCUCCGUAUACAUCAUGCCUGGUGCUAAGCAGUUUCCAUAUGCUAUCUAACUCAACAGUUGAAACGAUCCUAUAUUAUAAAGAGGAAACAGAUAAAGCCAGGAUUAUAGAUUGAGGCAAUCCAACUCCUCUCUUAGCCAUUAUACUUUUAUGCCUUCCAAUACUCUUAACAAUCUGCUGUCUGUCAACUUUUUAUUUCUGGCAGACCAUUCUUCAGAAUAAAUGCAAGACAAAUACUCCAGAGAGGCUUCUGGAAGCUACAGACUCCAGAUAGUCUCAUGAUCCAUUGAGUAAUCUGGUUAAAUGGAGAGUAAACAUUAGGAUUAUGAAAACACAGAAGGACAGAACGUAAUGGAGAAAACCUGCUUGAUUUCCAUAACAGAAAAUCAUGCUAUACUAGAGUUUGGGAUAAGUAGAAAGUAGAUACAAAAGUGGGAGCCUUAGAGAAAAGAACUUUAAACUUAAAGAAAACCCCAACUUUGAAAGUUUUUAAACCAAGAAGUAUUUUGAUUACAGUCAACAUAGCAUUGUAGGACAUAUAAUAUAAGAGCUUAGAGAUGAGUAGGAGGAGCUGAUGGGGAAUUUUGUAGGCAAUAUGAGCACUCUGUAAUUGUAAUUGACAACUUGUCAAUUACCCAAGGUCUUCCAUAACCCUUAUGCCAUCUGGUAAUCACAGUAUUCUGGUAAGGAAAAUAGAAUAGAUUCUAUUAUCCCAUUUUAGAGAUAUCUUAAUUGUUAAUGGCAGAAUCUUCUUAAAAUUGGCCUUGAGAUUGGCCUAAAUUAUCAUUUUAACAAAUUAUAUUUGAAGAGAAAGUACAUGAGUACAUUGGUCCCAACCCACAUUUAAAACCCCCGCAUCCAUCAUGACUUUAUUCACAUUACAUUCUAGCUAGACAGAAUUACUCCCCAGGCAGUUAUACCACUGCUUUGUUUUUUUUUUUUUUGAAACAGGAUCUCUUUCUGUUGCCCAGGCUGGAGUGCAAUGGCACAAUUAUAGCUCACCAUAGCAUCAAAUUCUUUGUCUCAAGCGAUCCUCCUGCCUCAGCCUACUAAAUAUGUAGGACUACAGGCAAGUGCCACCAUACCCAGCUAGUUUUAGAGGGGGUUUUACUAUGUUGUCCAGGCUUGUCUUGAACUCCUGGGCUCAACAAAUCCCCCUGCAUCAGCCUCCCAAAGUGCUGGGAUUACAAGUGUGAGCCAUUGCGCCUGGCCUCUACUCUUUUUUUUUUUUUCUACCAUAGAAGUCCAUCCCAACAACUUAUCUCUAUUGGAAUUGGCUUUUCAAAUCACAUCUAUAUUUCUCCCCCUAAAAUCUCCUUACUUCUUGAU